AUUGAACGCUAGCGGCAGGCCUAACACAUGCAAAUCGAGCGGAUGAAGGGAGCUUGCUCCUGGAUUCAGCGGCGGACGGGUGAGUAAUGCCUAGGAAUCUGCCUGGUAGUGGGGGAUAACGUCCGGAAACGGGCGCUAAUACCGCAUACGUCCUGAGGGAGAAAGUGGGGGAUCUUCGGACCUCACGCUAUCAGAUGAGCCUAGGUCGGAUUAGCUAGUUGGUGGGGUAAAGGCCUACCAAGGCGACGAUCCGUAACUGGUCUGAGAGGAUGAUCAGUCACACUGGAACUGAGACACGGUCCAGACUCCUACGGGAGGCAGCAGUGGGGAAUAUUGGACAAUGGGCGAAAGCCUGAUCCAGCCAUGCCGCGUGUGUGAAGAAGGUCUUCGGAUUGUAAAGCACUUUAAGUUGGGAGGAAGGGCAGUAAGUUAAUACCUUGCUGUUUUGACGUUACCAACAGAAUAAGCACCGGCUAACUUCGUG
This 484-nucleotide ribosomal RNA is filed under the name uncultured bacterium. RNAcentral's name for it is "partial 16S ribosomal RNA". It matches the Rfam family "Bacterial small subunit ribosomal RNA", at positions 30 to 507 of the family's 1533-position model. The record is from RNAcentral.